RNAcentral lists this long non-coding RNA (1298 nucleotides) under Aotus nancymaae (Ma's night monkey). RNAcentral describes it as "lncRNA (ENSANAG00000038985.1)". The record is from RNAcentral. Lineage: Eukaryota; Metazoa; Chordata; Mammalia; Primates; Aotidae.
CCGCGGGAGUGGAUUGCAGGCGCGGCGUGGGGAUGCGUGCAGGUCCUCCACACGCGGUCUCUCCAAACAGCCUCGGGGAGUAAAGGUGUGGCCUAAGCGGGUUGCGUUUCUCCUCCUGGCAUUUCGGGUACUCCUCCCCGCCGCGACCUGAAGCACCCUCGAACUUUCUCCCGGAAAAAUCUCUACCCAUCCUGUCUUUUCAUAUUUUUUCAAGAGGUCUCAGUGGCCCAUCCCCGCCAGUUACCUCUUCUUCCCACCCACUCGGUGUCGAGGGCGGCCGCCGGGUGGCGGAACCCGCUGGGGACUGCCGGGCGAGUGGAUUCUAGGUUCGCUGCUCAUGGGCAGGUGGGACGACCUCUGAGGCCGAGCAGAAAGGCAGGGGGCAGGGUGACAGACACUGAGGAAGCCCCAGAACGUCUCCGUCCUCUCCGAGGCAGGAAGUCCGCUUUGGGGAUAUCAGGCCACCCCCGACCUCCCCCAGCGAUGGAAACCUGUCCAGGGGCCCCUAGGCUGGGUGCUGGGAACCCAAGUGGCCAGAAGUAAAGGCUGGCAGGGCUCGCUGAAGUUAGCAAGGCUUUGAGGGGAAUUUGCCGGGAGGGAGAUCAAAACACCCCCAAACUCAAGCAGCGAAGUCCUGGCGCGAAAAUGGCUUUUCACUUCUCCAAGCGCAAGUCUCGCUCGCUACGGUGAACAAACCUUGAGGUUCGAAACAGCUGCAAAUAAUCAAGAUUUUUUCACUCGUCAUUACGUAAAUAAAGAAGAAGAUGAUGAUACUAAUAACAGCUAACAUUUACUGUAUACCAGAACUGUGGCUCCAUAAUGGAAUCAAGAAGUCAUGGAAUCCUAUGCUUGGAAGUUUGGAGGGCAUUGGUCCAACUUCCCACUGAACCCAGAGUUCUGAAGAUGGGCAGAUGAUCAGAUGCAGAUGGAACAAUUUUCAGGACUUGCAGAUUCAAGAAAGGCUCCCAAUGCAGCUGCUGUCUGCAGACCCCCUAGACUGCCCAGGGAAGUGAGUCGGAACUCCUGCAACAGAGGGGUGGAACAGCUACAAGAAGAUCUGAAGGUGGCCAAAAAUAACAGCACUUUCCAGAUGAGGGAGCCAGUUUUCCAGCACAGUGUCAUGGGACAGUGGGCCCUGGUGUCACAUGUCCGGCAUCUCCACCAGAUACAGCUUUGAGAUCUUCAUGAUGAAGCUUGCUCCAAUCCAAAGGCUUUCAGGCAGGGUUUGCUGUUCAGCUGCUAACCUUUCUUUGGUAAGCAUUUACUAUAUUCCAUCAUUACUGAAAUUACUUUUUUCU